Molecule: ribosomal RNA, 484 nt
Filed under: uncultured bacterium
Lineage: Bacteria
Description: partial 16S ribosomal RNA
Rfam family: Bacterial small subunit ribosomal RNA
Source: RNAcentral
AUUGAAUGCUGGCGGCAGGCCUAACACAUGCAAGUCGAGCGGAUGAAGGGAGCUUGCUCCUGGAUUCAGCGGCGGACGGGUGAGUAAUGCCUAGGAAUCUGCCUGGUAGUGGGGGAUAACGUCCGGAAACGGGCGCUAAUACCGCAUACGUCCUGAGGGAGAAAGUGGGGGAUCUUCGGACCUCACGCUAUCAGAUGAGCCUAGGUCGGAUUAGCUAGUUGGUGGGGUAAAGGCCUACCAAGGCGACGAUCCGUAACUGGUCUGAGAGGAUGAUCAGUCACACUGGAACUGAGACACGGUCCAGACUCCUACGGGAGGCAGCAGUGGGGAAUAUUGGACAAUGGGCGAAGGCCUGAUCCAGCCAUGCCGCGUGUGUGAAGAAGGUCUUCGGAUUGUAAAGCACUUUAAGUUGGGAGGAAGGGCAGUAAGUUAAUACCUUGCUGUUUUGACGUUACCAACAGAAUAAGCACCGGCUAACUUCGUG